GACAGAGGGUGCAAACGUUGUUCGGAAUUACUGGGCGUAAAGCGUGUGUAGGCGGUCUUGUAAGUCGGAUGUGAAAGCCCCGGGCUCAACCCGGGAAGUGCACUCGAAACUGCGAGGCUAGAGUAUCGGAGAGGUUGGUGGAAUUCUCGGUGUAGAGGUGAAAUUCGUAGAUAUCGAGAGGAACACCGGUGGCGAAGGCGGCCAACUGGACGAAUACUGACGCUGAGACACGAAAGCGUGGGGAGCAAACGGG
Molecule: ribosomal RNA, 253 nt
Filed under: uncultured bacterium
Lineage: Bacteria
Description: partial 16S ribosomal RNA
Rfam family: Bacterial small subunit ribosomal RNA
Source: RNAcentral